Molecule: ribosomal RNA, 353 nt
Filed under: Pterulina distinctissima
Lineage: Eukaryota; Metazoa; Arthropoda; Insecta; Phasmatodea; Phasmatidae
Description: partial small subunit ribosomal RNA
Source: RNAcentral
UAGUUAUUUUCUUUAAACCUAAAGAAUUUGGCGGUAAUUUAGUCUAUUCAGAGGAACCUGUCCCUUAAUCGAUAGUCCCCGUUUUAUCUAGCUUGAUUAAUUUGUAUUAUUUACAGUAUGUAUACCGCCGUUAUAAGUUUAUUUUAUUAGGUUAUUAAUUUACUUAUUAUAUUAUUAUAUUAUAUUUCAGGUCAAGGUGCAGCUUAUAUUUAAGUGGAGAUGGGUUACAUUAUUUGAUUGAAUAAACGGAUAUUAUAUUUAAAAUAUUUUUGAAGGUGGAUUUGAUAGUAAAUAUUUUUAUAGUAAUAUUUUGAUUUUAGCUCUAAAUUAAGUACACAUCGCCCGUCGCUCUA